UGCCCCGCUUUGGCGUGGUUCCACCCCAGCCACCACUUCACAAACCCUGCCCUUUUUCCCCUCGACCCCCAUAGCGCAGCGCAGCACCACUCCCACCUCCCUCGUCAGCCGCCACCGGGUCAUCUCGCUGGUGUGGAGGAGUAGCGGAUCCGGCAGCAUCCGAGGCGUGUGGGCAUGGCGACGGGCAUCUCUGGCAGCGGCGGCGACCUGCAGGCAAAAGACAAUGGCCGGGGCACUCGAUUCGAUCUAGUGCCAUGGACCGGUCCCUGCAAGAGAAAAGAUGAGGGAGAGAGAGAGAGAAAGGAGGGAGAGGAGGAAGAAACAGAGAGGAAAGAGGAGAGGGAGGUGUGACGGUGGAUGGGAGAGGGUCUCCGGCCGGCGCCGCACAUUCACAUCUCUCCUCCUCUCCUGCUCUCGAGCACCACCGUGGCCCUCUUCCUCCCCUUCGAUUCUCCAUCUCCUCUUCUCUGGAGCUAGCUGAGUGGUCAACGAUGAGGAAGACAGAGCCACCGAUGCCGACCGGCCAAUUCCGUCGGGCGCUGUCAUGGGAGGAGGCGCACCAGAGUAGCAGCACGGGAGGAGAUGAAGGUCGAGGAAGAGGGCAAAGACGCGCGGUUGGAAGAGGAAUAUGCCUGUGGUCACCGCCUUCCGAGACGAUGGGACCGGGCAAUUCAGAUUUCUCUCGUUCCUUGCCUCGAUGACAUGCUCUACUUCUUCAGCUUGCAGGGAUAUGAGGAGAGAACUCUAUUGUUGGCAGUGAUUGCAUCAUUUCCACAAGUGGGACAUGAGGAGAGAUCUCUAUUGUUGGCAUGGGCUGCAUCAUUAUCUUUGCUAUGUGGACUCAUGGCAUGAUCUAUACCUAAGGCUGAAGAUUCUGAAUUAGGAGGGAGCAGCAGGUAGAAGAAAUCCAAAGCCAAUUUUGCUCAGCUAUAGUGUCUUCCAUUGACAAUAAAUCUGCACAGCAGCCUGAUGUGGUUAGUUCUUGCAAUUAAAAACACAAAUCUUUCAGUUGCUCUCCAUUCGCUGGUAAAAAAAUAGUGAUUUUCCUUUAUAAAUACCCAACUGUAGAAUACCUUAGUUAAAUCAAUCAAUAGUGAGUUAUAUUACUAGAGACAUACUUAAUAAUGCCCUUAGGUGUGACACUCUACAUGGUUACCUUCUUUAGUCCCAGUUAUUUAUAUCAUACUGAGAUAACACUCUUCCAAGCGGAAUGUUUGUUUUUAUAUACUUAUAGAUGCUAAUUUACCGUUCUUGAUUUUGGCUGGGAUAUUCCUUCAUUUGCUUGGUUGGCUGUCAAUGCUCACCAAUUUCUGAAUAUCUCCCAUGGCCAAAUUUAGUCCAACAUUUCCAGUAUGUAUCUUCUUCUGCUAUCAAUGUUAAUUCUGCCAUAAGCAUAGUACUCUCCUAGCAUUUGUUUCUUUCGUUGAAAAACAGAGACACUUGUUCAGUUCGGUUUUUUACUACACAGAAAAAGAUAAGUUCAAUUUGGUUUCUAAUGUUCAUGUCGGCCUUUGCCUAAGCAAAAAAAGGUAACCACUUUAUAUUGUAAUCUGGUUUUUAGUUUGUCUUUGAUUCGACCUUUUCUUUGUGUGUGUUGUCUAACUGUUAGAUUGUCUGGGACAUCUUAGAACAACCUUUCAUAUCCCUGAUAUUAUUUUGCUUUAUCUGCCACCGUGAAUUCCUAGAGUUCCUUUCUCUCCUUCCAAUUGAUAUUCUUAGAUGUGACUCUAUUAGAAAUUUUGUGCCACGACAGAAGUAAUGGUUGAUUGCUCUGGUUUAGCCUUUAUGUCAGUUGUUGCUGAGGGUCCAGUUUCUCAUUUUUCAGAUUUUGUAGUAGCAGGGAUGUGUAUAAUAUGGAUAACUGAACUAGUCUUUAGGGGUUUCAGUGCAAGACUGCUACAAGCUUGAUUAGUUAGAUCAACUGGUGUUUAGAGAUUUCAGUGCGGAGUGAUGUUUCAGUUUCGAUUGCAGGGCUUCGAGAUGCACCAUGAGGAUUGAAAUGAGUCUUAUACAAGGCUGCUAAAUUAUUAUGCUUUUGGUCUUUCCUGAAUUUAUUUAGCAUAAAUACUUCCAGAAUACCUCUUAUAAUAUGGAAGCAUGUUGGUAACAACGCUGAUUUUGCCAGUUUGUGGAACAUGCUUCAUUUUUGCAGGUAAAAGAAGGAAAAGAGAACAUUGGAGAAAAAGGCAGCAAGACAUAUUCUCUAAGCUUUCUCAAAUGUUUGAACAAUUAGAAGAUAGUUACAAUCAUUUUUCUCUUGCCUUAUUACAUCUUGAUGUUAAUAGGCUUUGGAAGGUACGAUGCACCCUGUUCAAGGUUUACAUAAUUUGCACCAUCCUAUUACAGUUUGUUCUAUUGACAUAAUUGACCAGUUUUUCCUUGAGUAAAUUAAUAUUGUAGUUGCUACUCCUUUGUGCAUUGUUACAUAGAGUUAUAAUUGUGCAUAUAAUUCCCACGAUCCUAUUACAGUUUGUUCUAACGGCAAAAUUGAGCAGCUCUUACUUGAGUAAAUUGUGCAGCACUUCCUUGAGUAAAUUAGUAUUGUAGUUACUAAGCCUUUGUGCACUCUGAUACAACUCUACUGAAAUACUACUUUCUUAUGCCCAUUUUAAACCGAGACCUGACUUUACAUCAUUUCUAUUAUCAUCCAGUCUCCUGAAUUUUAGUCCGCUCCAGCAAUGCUAUGGCUUGACACUCCAUGUAUGUAUGAAAAAAUGACCGCAAUUUCGUUGUUGUGAUUUGGUCAAUCCUCGGCGUUUCGAUUCCUAUUAAUCUCUUUGUUUGGCAACUGAUGCCACCUGAAGGGCUGCCAGACCAAGACAACAUCGGUAAUAUCCUUCGCAUAUUUGGAAGGCGUGGAACAAUGUCAUUUCAACUUCGUCGGGUGCUGGCCCAAGGAUAUUAUUUGUUGCUGAUGUUUUUUUUCGAAACAAGGCAAAAGACUUGUCAUUUUCAUUUAUUAAGAAGAUAGUGAGAAUUGUCCGGUUAAUUGAGGAAAACCGGGCUAAAACUAAUACAACUCAACCCACAAACAUGGAUACCACUGGCCACAUGCUAACAGAUGGCUACACAUGCGAACAAUUGACCACUCCGACUUUGAAGACGAGCUUUGCAAGGGAAAUAUGCAGGGCUUGCAUUGAUCAUGCCAUUCACAAAUGACCACCGAGUGUCUGUCAUCAUCACCACCUAGACUCACUCAGAAAUCAACGGCCCCGAAACAGCCGCCUCAGCAAACCACAGGCUGCCUCAGCAAACCACAUCGUUCACAUGGAUUCUAGACAACUUUGUUGCUGAUGUGAAUAUCUCUAGAUGUGAUGUCCAUCGUUCACAUCUUAUAGAAUAUAUAUAACUUUGUGCUACCAAAUUAGAAUUUGUAUAUACAUCUCAUUAUAGACAACAAAAUACCAUUUUUUCCUAGUAAAGAGGAUUAUAUUUGUUA
Long non-coding RNA from Triticum urartu, 3439 nucleotides. RefSeq lists it as uncharacterized. The record is from RefSeq and is a predicted model, not a curated record. NCBI's taxonomy places the organism in Eukaryota, Viridiplantae, Streptophyta, Magnoliopsida, Poales, Poaceae.